UGAGGGAAUAUUGGGUCAAUGGGCGGGAGCCUGAACCAGCCAAGUCGCGUGAGGGAGGAAGGUCCUACGGAUUGUAAACCUCUUUAGCCGGGGAGCAACGUGCGCCACGUGUGGCGCAAUGAGAGUACCCGGAGAAUAAGCAUCGGCUAACUCCGUGCCAGCAGCCGCGGUAAUACGGAGGAUGCGAGCGUUAUCCGGAUUUAUUGGGUUUAAAGGGUGCGCAGGCGGCGCGAAAAGUCAGCGGUCAAAGUUCCGGGCUCAACCCGGUGACGCCGUUGAAACUUUCGGGCUGGAGUUCGUGCGAGG
This 306-nucleotide ribosomal RNA is filed under the name uncultured Porphyromonadaceae bacterium. Its description in RNAcentral is "bacterial SSU rRNA". It matches the Rfam family "Bacterial small subunit ribosomal RNA", at positions 354 to 657 of the family's 1533-position model. The record is from RNAcentral. Lineage: Bacteria; Pseudomonadati; Bacteroidota; Bacteroidia; Bacteroidales; Porphyromonadaceae.